AGUCCGGUAGCCAAGCGGUCGAAGGCACUCGUCUUUUAAACGAGGGACCGUCGGUUCGAAUCCGACCCGGACUA
Molecule: transfer RNA, 74 nt
Filed under: Pyrinomonadaceae bacterium
Lineage: Bacteria; Pseudomonadati; Acidobacteriota; Blastocatellia; Blastocatellales; Pyrinomonadaceae
Description: tRNA-Lys
Rfam family: tRNA
About the family: Transfer RNA (tRNA) molecules are approximately 80 nucleotides in length.
Source: RNAcentral